GAGCAUUUCCAGCAAAAGUGCGAAGCGUCUACGCGGGGAAAUCAGUCCCCUGGACUGUUUUCUGAUCCCGCUUCGAUACGUCGGAUAAUGCGUACAAACAAAGAAAGAAAGCGGCUCCAUCGACCUCGUUUUAACCGGAACCUAUCUGAAAGGAUGAUUUGGAUUUUUCUAUGAACUUCCGCAAGUUACGACACAAAUUUAUUCGCAAAUCCGCAUAAGGCAGGUU
Molecule: non-coding RNA, 226 nt
Filed under: Brucella sp. 191011898
Lineage: Bacteria; Pseudomonadati; Pseudomonadota; Alphaproteobacteria; Hyphomicrobiales; Brucellaceae
Source: RNAcentral